Molecule: non-coding RNA, 72 nt
Organism: Pseudovirgaria hyperparasitica
Lineage: Eukaryota; Fungi; Ascomycota; Dothideomycetes; Acrospermales; Acrospermaceae
Source: the annotation of a RefSeq genome assembly
GGUGGGAUGGCGAAAUGGCAUCGCGUUGCUUUCCGGUGGCAAAGAUUGUGGGUUCGAGUCCCAUUCUCAUCG